UCGAUGGGUCCUUGAGGACUUAGUGACGCAGCUAACGCAAUAAGUAGACCGCCUGGGGAGUACGGCCGCAAGGUUAAAACUCAAAUGAAUUGACGGGGGCCCGCACAAGCGGUGGAGCAUGUGGUUUAAUUCGAUGCAACGCGAAGAACCUUACCUGGUCUUGACAUAUCUAGAAUCCUGCAGAGAUGCGGGAGUGCCUUCGGGAAUUAGAAUACAGGUGCUGCAUGGCUGUCGUCAGCUCGUGUCGUGAGAUGUUGGGUUAAGUCCCGCAACGAGCGCAACCCUUGUCCUUAGUUACCAGCGGUUUGGCCGGGAACUCUAAGGAUACUGCCAGUGACAAACUGGAGGAAGGCGGGGACGACGUCAAGUCAUCAUGGCCCUUACGACCAGGGCUACACACGUGCUACAAUGGUAGGUACAGAGGGCAGCUUCACAGCGAUGUGAUGCGAAUCUCAAAAAGCCUAUCGUAGUCCAGAUUGGAGUCUGCAACUCGACUCCAUGAAGUAGGAAUCGCUAGUAAUCGCGGAUCAGAAUGCCGCGGUGAAUACGUUCCCGGGCCUUGUACACACCGCC
Molecule: ribosomal RNA, 573 nt
Filed under: uncultured bacterium
Lineage: Bacteria
Description: bacterial SSU rRNA
Rfam family: Bacterial small subunit ribosomal RNA
Source: RNAcentral